GUGAGCGUAGCGCAGUCUGGUAGCGCACCUGCUUUGGGAGCAGGGGGUCAGGGGUUCAAAUCCCCUCGCUCGCA
RNAcentral lists this transfer RNA (74 nucleotides) under Candidatus Falkowbacteria bacterium RIFOXYA2_FULL_35_8. Its description in RNAcentral is "tRNA-Pro". It matches the Rfam family "tRNA". From Rfam's summary of the family: Transfer RNA (tRNA) molecules are approximately 80 nucleotides in length. Their secondary structure includes four short double-helical elements and three loops (D, anti-codon, and T loops). The record is from RNAcentral. RNAcentral also lists the same sequence under 3 other names. Lineage: Bacteria; Candidatus Falkowiibacteriota.